CCCAAUGGGCGAAACCCUGACGGACCAAUACCGCUUGAGGGACGAAGCUCUGUGGAUUGUAACCUUCUUUUUCUAGGGAAGAUAAUGACGGUACCUAACGAAUAAGCAUCGGCUAACUCCGUGCCAGCAGCCGCGGUAAGACGGAGGAUGCAAGCGUUAUCCGGAAUCAUUGGGCGUAAAGCGUACGUAGGCUGUUAGAUAAGUCUGUUGUCAAAGCUCGAGGCUCAACCUUGUAAAGGCAAUGGAAACUGUUAGACUAGAGAGAGAUAGGGGCAGGGGGAAUUCCAGGUGUAGCGGUGAAAUGCGUAGAUAUUUGGAAGAACACCAAUGGCGAAAGCAUCCUGCUGGAUCUCAACUUUUCUGAAGUACGAAAGCUA
RNAcentral lists this ribosomal RNA (377 nucleotides) under uncultured organism. RNAcentral describes it as "bacterial SSU rRNA". It matches the Rfam family "Bacterial small subunit ribosomal RNA", at positions 367 to 762 of the family's 1533-position model. The record is from RNAcentral.